This 494-nucleotide ribosomal RNA is filed under the name uncultured bacterium. RNAcentral's name for it is "partial 16S ribosomal RNA". It matches the Rfam family "Bacterial small subunit ribosomal RNA", at positions 28 to 507 of the family's 1533-position model. The record is from RNAcentral.
GACGAACGCUGGCGGCGUGCUUAACACAUGCAAGUCGAACGGAAAGGCCUGCCUUCCCUUGUGGAUUGCGGGUACUCGAGUGGCGAACGGGUGAGUAAAACGUGAGUGAUCUGCCCCCAACUUGGGUAUAAGCUUGGGAUACUAGGUCUAAUUUCCGACAGGAUAGCAGGGUGGUGCCUGUGGUGGCAAACGAUUAUCCAGUGGUUGGGGAUGAGCUCGCGGCGUAUCAGCUUGUUGGUGGGGUAAUGGCCUACCAAGGCGGCGACGGGUAGUCGGCCUGAGGAGGUGGACGGGAGCAGUGGGACUGAGAGGCGGCCUAGGCUCCGACGGAAGGCAGCAGCUGGGACGAGGGGACGAUGUGCGGAAUCCUGAAGCAUCGAGGCAGCGUUGGUGAUGACGGGCUGCGUGUUGUAAACUCCUUUCGGCCACGAGAAAGCCACCUGGUAGGGAAGGUAGUGACGGUAGUGGAAGAAGAAGCACCGGCUAACUACGUG